GCCCGGUCACAUUCCGAACCCGGAAGCUAAGCCUGACAGCGCCGAUGGUACUGCACCGGGGACGGUGUGGGAGAGUAGGACACCGCCGGAC
This is a ribosomal RNA of Ornithinimicrobium sp. CNJ-824, 91 nucleotides long. The record is from Rfam. NCBI's taxonomy places the organism in Bacteria, Bacillati, Actinomycetota, Actinomycetes, Micrococcales, Ornithinimicrobiaceae.